This 424-nucleotide ribosomal RNA is filed under the name Eudorina sp. 2006-703-Eu-15. RNAcentral's name for it is "small subunit ribosomal RNA". It matches the Rfam family "Bacterial small subunit ribosomal RNA", at positions 1036 to 1533 of the family's 1533-position model. The record is from RNAcentral. Lineage: Eukaryota; Viridiplantae; Chlorophyta; Chlorophyceae; Chlamydomonadales; Volvocaceae.
GCUCUCGCAUGGUUGAUUGGUCAGCGCGAAGUCAUACUUUAAUUGGCGUGACUUUUGCCACGUUCGUCUGAACGAUCUUAACAAAUCAUCAUGGGGCUUAUAGUGUGGGCACCUUGGCGUAUUACAUUGGACAGUACAUUUUAAAUUUAAAACUGUCUGAAUUAACGGAUUGGCGAGAUUUUUACUGUUGCUGAAACUGCCGCCAUGAAGAAGGAAUCGCGAGUAAUCGUAGAUCAUUAGCGCUACGGUGAAGGUUAACCCUCUAGAGUACAAACUGCCCGUCACCUAAGAUAACUGCACUGUACCCGAAGAACUAAAUCAACACAACAAGUCGCAAGUUUGGAACCAAGGCGUGAUGUGGAAAUUUUAGCAAGUCGAAACAAGGUUGGGGUAGUGGAAGCUGCUCCAGAAUCAAAUAUUUAUA